Molecule: non-coding RNA, 696 nt
Organism: Megalopta genalis
Lineage: Eukaryota; Metazoa; Arthropoda; Insecta; Hymenoptera; Halictidae
Source: RefSeq, a predicted model, not a curated record
GAUACGCAAUGAAUCAUUUAUCACGCCACCUGCUGUCCAAAGCAGGUGACGCGCGUGUCAAACUAUACGUACGUAUAACCUGCCAGCAAACGAAAACCUGUACAAUAUCACUUUACGUCAACAUAUCUCUUUCUAAGUUCGAACGAAUAUUUUACAUUCAAUUAUUGGAUCCAUUUUAAAUAAUGGUAUUUCAAGUACCUUUUUUCGUGAAUAAAAGAACAUUUGGUAUUAAAUAUUUCGACGAUAAAAGUAAUCAAAGGUGUGAUUAACGUGGGAAUGAAUUAAUACAUGCAAAAAAUUACGCGAUUCGAAAAUAAAUAGCACUGUAGUAAUAUUAAAACAGUUUAAGUAUUCCUGUGCUAAUGCAGUUGAAUGUUCAAACCCAGGCUGUUCCAGUUCCAAGUAUGUACUACGGUAGUGCUUCCACACAUGCAGCACCGGACGACAGGAACCCGUGUGAAGCUGGCUCACCAUAUUAUAACCGAUGCAUAUUAAUGAAAUAUAGCUUAAAAAAUUGCUCUUUAAUUAUAUAUAAUUGCUCACCAAUUAGUUUUAAUUGCACACUUAUCUUUUUCGAGAAAUAUCCAAAAAAAUUGUUUUGAGAUACCUAGGGAUUUUCACGAGAGGCUGAAGACUUUUAAUAAUACGAAAUUUCUAAAACAAUGAAUAAAACGUGUUGUGUGACUUACCUAAGAA